GAAAAAUUAGUUUAAAUAAAACCUUGUUUUGUCAAAACAAAAAUAUAUCUUAUAUAUUUUUCU
Molecule: transfer RNA, 63 nt
Filed under: Corythucha ciliata (sycamore lace bug)
Lineage: Eukaryota; Metazoa; Arthropoda; Insecta; Hemiptera; Tingidae
Description: tRNA-Asp
Source: RNAcentral